AAGGGAGACCUAAUUCCGGUAGGAGACGAAAAAAAAGUAGUCGCUACCAAGAAUCAAUCCCAAAAGGUCGGAGCGAGGCGAAAUUGGCUUUCAAACUAGGUUCUGGGUUCACACAAGACCUGAAUCAGGAACAAGGGCUAUUAGCUCAGGUGGUUAGAGCGCACCCCUGAUAAGGGUGAGGUCCCUGGUUCGAGUCCAGGAUGGCCCACCUGUACAGGUGGCAAAAAGAAAGAAAAGAAGCGAGGAAUCAGCACCUUAUCUUACUGACAUAGUAAGAGAGAAUGCUGGCUCUGAGUAAAGAGUCCAGAGGAACCUUGAAAACUGCAUAGAGCUAGGUGAAAAAGCCAAAAAAGAAGACCGCAA
This 363-nucleotide transfer RNA is filed under the name uncultured Microcystis sp. RNAcentral describes it as "partial 16S-23S ribosomal RNA intergenic spacer". The stretch from base 135 to 208 matches the Rfam family "tRNA". The record is from RNAcentral. Lineage: Bacteria; Bacillati; Cyanobacteriota; Cyanophyceae; Chroococcales; Microcystaceae.